RNAcentral lists this small RNA (590 nucleotides) under human gut metagenome. The record is from RNAcentral.
AUAAUACAACUGAUGGUGCAUUAUUCUAGUAGCAUACAUCUGCUGUGAGGGUGGGGCUAAAAAUCCACUAAAGGGCACAUCGAUGAAGUUUCUUAUUUUUGCGCGAAAUGCCAGUUUUGUGUGAAUGUAGGGAGUAAAGAAUUUAGGGUAAUAUAUAAUGGCAUAUAUCGACCCCCUAUUUUCGCGGAGGCUUAGAAAAAGUUCUAAUGAAGGCUUUUAGAACAACCUUUAAGUAAAACCUAUGUUGAGUGCCAAGACACAAAAUACAUAGAGUAGCCUGUCUUGAGUGAUAAUAUCGGGAUUGUUUAAACAUGAAAUUAUUAUUGCAAAAGAGACUAGCAAUAGAUUUAUAGUAUGCAGAAGGAAAACUUCUAGAAUGUUUGCUUUAAAUUAUAAGCAAGGAAAUCUGUGGAUUAAGGUACGGAUUUGAGUGGCGAUCUGGUUUCUACUUGUUACUUUUUAAUAUAGUAAUGAGAAGAUAUUUUCUUUAAAUGGAAACGGCUAAACAGUAAUGUUUAGUAGAAAAUAGAGAAAUUCUUCUAGACCUAAACCGUAAAAUUUACAUAGAUUUUUACCAUCUAAAUAUUUUU